This 433-nucleotide ribosomal RNA is filed under the name uncultured bacterium. Its description in RNAcentral is "partial 16S ribosomal RNA". It matches the Rfam family "Bacterial small subunit ribosomal RNA", at positions 29 to 507 of the family's 1533-position model. The record is from RNAcentral.
AACGAACGCUGGCGGCAUGCCUAACACAUGCAAGUCGAACGAGACCUUCGGGUCUAGUGGCUCACGGGUGCGUAACGCGUUGGAACCUGCCCUUAGGUUCGGAAUAACUCCCCGAAAGGGGUGCUAAUACCGGAUAAUGUCUUCGGACCAAAGAUUUAUCGCCUUUGGAUGGGCCCGCGUUGGAUUAGCUAGUUGGUAGGGUAAAAGCCUACCAAGGCGACGAUCCAUAGCUGGUCUGAGAGGAUGAUCAGCCACACUGGGACUGAGACACGGCCCAGACUCCUACGGGAGGCAGCAGUGGGGAAUAUUGGACAAUGGGCGAAAGCCUGAUCCAGCAAUGCCGCGUGAGUGAUGAAGGCCUUAGGGUUGUAAAGCUCUUUUACCCGGGAUGAUAAUGACAGUACCGGGAGAAUAAGCUCCGGCUAACUCCGUG